GUGGCUGUGUGUGUGUGUGUGUGUGUGUGUGUGUGUGUGUGUGUGUGUGCACACGCAUGCAUGCACACACCCA
RNAcentral lists this microRNA precursor (73 nucleotides) under Ochotona princeps (American pika). Its description in RNAcentral is "miRNA (ENSOPRG00000017913.1)". Lineage: Eukaryota; Metazoa; Chordata; Mammalia; Lagomorpha; Ochotonidae. The record is from RNAcentral.